This 921-nucleotide ribosomal RNA is filed under the name Bacillus amyloliquefaciens. RNAcentral describes it as "bacterial SSU rRNA". It matches the Rfam family "Bacterial small subunit ribosomal RNA", at positions 78 to 983 of the family's 1533-position model. Lineage: Bacteria; Bacillati; Bacillota; Bacilli; Caryophanales; Bacillaceae. The record is from RNAcentral.
GCUUGCUCCCUGAUGUUAGCGGCGGACGGGUGAGUAACACGUGGGUAACCUGCCUGUAAGACUGGGAUAACUCCGGGAAACCGGGGCUAAUACCGGAUGGUUGUUUGAACCGCAUGGUUCAGACAUAAAAGGUGGCUUCGGCUACCACUUACAGAUGGACCCGCGGCGCAUUAGCUAGUUGGUGAGGUAACGGCUCACCAAGGCGACGAUGCGUAGCCGACCUGAGAGGGUGAUCGGCCACACUGGGACUGAGACACGGCCCAGACUCCUACGGGAGGCAGCAGUAGGGAAUCUUCCGCAAUGGACGAAAGUCUGACGGAGCAACGCCGCGUGAGUGAUGAAGGUUUUCGGAUCGUAAAGCUCUGUUGUUAGGGAAGAACAAGUGCCGUUCAAAUAGGGCGGCACCUUGACGGUACCUAACCAGAAAGCCACGGCUAACUACGUGCCAGCAGCCGCGGUAAUACGUAGGUGGCAAGCGUUGUCCGGAAUUAUUGGGCGUAAAGGGCUCGCAGGCGGUUUCUUAAGUCUGAUGUGAAAGCCCCCGGCUCAACCGGGGAGGGUCAUUGGAAACUGGGGAACUUGAGUGCAGAAGAGGAGAGUGGAAUUCCACGUGUAGCGGUGAAAUGCGUAGAGAUGUGGAGGAACACCAGUGGCGAAGGCGACUCUCUGGUCUGUAACUGACGCUGAGGAGCGAAAGCGUGGGGAGCGAACAGGAUUAGAUACCCUGGUAGUCCACGCCGUAAACGAUGAGUGCUAAGUGUUAGGGGGUUUCCGCCCCUUAGUGCUGCAGCUAACGCAUUAAGCACUCCGCCUGGGGAGUACGGUCGCAAGACUGAAACUCAAAGGAAUUGACGGGGGCCCGCACAAGCGGUGGAGCAUGUGGUUUAAUUCCAAGCACGCGAAGAACCUUACCAGGUCUUG